ACUAUUUUGUCAGAUAAAUGUUUUAAAUUUAGAAUUUGAUUAUGUAAUAUAAAUUGCAAAUAGUA
RNAcentral lists this transfer RNA (65 nucleotides) under Ceratocombus japonicus. Its description in RNAcentral is "tRNA-Leu". The record is from RNAcentral. Lineage: Eukaryota; Metazoa; Arthropoda; Insecta; Hemiptera; Ceratocombidae.